GAAGGGGUACAUGGGGGAUAUGGGUUUGGGGAAAGAAAUGAGAUCGGUGAGGCUAUUCAAGAUUUUGCUAUAGCCUACGACCGAGCGAUAGCAAACACUUACUUUAAAAAGCAAGAUGAACAUUUAGUAACCUAUAAAAGUAGAUCACAUAAAAGCCAGAUAGACUUCUUCCUAGUUAAGAAGGUAGAUCGACCAUCUUGUAAAAACUGCAAGGUUAUUUCAGGAGAGAGUUGACUGGCCAAUGCAGGCUCAUGUUAUGGAUGUCUAGAUAAAGACAUGGAAGAAAAGGGGUGAAAGUAAUGGGUAUCUAAGAAAUAGGUGGUGGAAUUUAAAAAAUGAGAAAAUAGACUUAUUUAGGGAUAAAUUAGUUAAAUUAGGAAAAUAGAACUCUAAACAUGAGGUCAUGUUAUAUGGAAUGACAUGGUUGACAGUGAUAAGAAAGUAGCAAAAGAAGUUUUAGGAGGAAAAGAAAUUUCAAUAAGGAAACUUGGUGGUGGAGUGAUGAGGUUUAGAAGGCCAUUGACGAAAAAUGAUCAUGUUAUAAAACUUGGCAGUGUAAUAGAAACGAUCAAAACUUAGAAGAAUAUAAAAAUGCUAAGAAAGAUGCCAAACAAAUAUUAAGUAAGGCUAAACUUCAGGCAAAUGAUAAUCUAUACAAUAAUAUGGAAAUAAGAAAAGUUGAAAAGAUAUCUUCAAAUUAGCGAAAAUGAGAAAGAAAAAUUGUAGGGAUCUAGACCAUAUUAAAUGCAUUAAGAGUGAGGAUCAAAGGGUCUUGGUGAAGGAUGAAGAGGUCAACAAAAGGUGGAGAGCUUAUUCUAAAAAAUUAUUAAAUGACGAACACAAUAAGAAUAUAAGGGUAGAAGGAACCACUGGUAUAAAUGAAAGCAUAGGUCAUAGGUACAUUCGUAGGAUUAAGAUAUUGAAAGUGAAAGAAGCUUUGAAUAGGAUGAAGGUAGGAAAGGCUUUAGGACCAGAUAGUAUCCCGAUAGAGGUUUGGAAGUGCAUGGGGGAGAUUGGCAUUGACUGACUGACAAAGUUGUUCAACGAGAUGUUGAGAACAAAGAAAAUACCAGACGAAUGGAAGGAAAAUAUUGUGAUAUCUAUUUACAAGAAUAAAUGAGAUAUACAGAAUUGUGUGAACUAUUGAGGGAUCAAGCAUAUGAGUCAUACUAUGAAGCUUUAAGAGAGAGUGAUUAAGCAAUAACUAAAGCAUGAAACGAGUGUAUUUGAAAACCAAUUUGGUUUAAGCCAAAGAGGUCAACAACCGAGGCUAUUCUCCUAAUUAGGCAACUGAUUGAGAAGUUUAGAGUGAAAGGAAAAGAUAUCCACAUGGUCUUUAUUGAACUAGAGAAAGCUUAUGAUAGUACCUCGAGAUUUGAUUUGGUGGGUAUUGGAAAAGAAAGGAAUCUCUGGACACUACAUCAACUUGAUGAAAAAUAUAUAUGAUGGAGCACGAACUAGUGUAUGAAUAACUAUAAGAGAGAUGAAUGAGUUUUCAGUGAUAAUAGAUCUACAUUAGUGGUCAGCAUUGAGCCCGUACCUCUUUGUCUUAGUUAUGGAUGAUAUAAUUAGGCACCUAUAAGAUGAGGUAUUGUGGUGUGUAUUGUUUGUAGAUAACAGUUUUGAUCCAUGGGACCCGAAACAGUGUCAAUAUAAAGUUAGAACUUUGGAAGGAUACUCUAGAAUCUAAAAGUUUUGAAAUUAGCCGGACUAAAGCAGAGUAUAUGGAAUUCAAGCUUAGUAAUAAUAGGAGUAGAAACGAGGAAAUAGUUAAGAUUGACAGCUAGGAAGUGUCAAAAAGGGCGUACUUUCGAUAUCUUGGGUCGAUAAUCCAGAAAAAUGGAAAGAUUGAGGAAGAUGUCGUACAAAGAAUUAGAGUUGGGUAGGCGAAGUGGAGAUGUGCAACCGGAAUUUUAUGCGAUUGUCACAUAUCAAUGAAGUUGAAGGGCAAAGUUCUAUAGGACAGCUGUGAGACCAACUUUGCUCUAUGGGGAGAAAUAUUGGGUGGACAAAAAACAAUAUACCCGUAGAAUGAGUGUAGCAGAGAUGAGGAUAUUCAGAUGGAUAGUGGCAAGACAAGAAGGUAUAGAAUUCGAAAAGAAUUCAUGUAGGAAAAUUUGGGGUGGCACCAAUAGGCGAUAAGAUGAGAGAGAGUUAGGUAGGUUGGUCAUGUGUGCCGCAGACCUAAGUACAACACCUGUUAUGAGGCACGGGUAUAGUUCAAGUGGAAGGCUUAAAAGGAUAGGAGGUAUGCCCAAAAAGACAUGGUUGGAAGUAGUCAAAAAAGAUAUGGAGACUUAUGGCCCCACUGAGGAUAUGACCCUUAAUAGAGCAGAAUGACAGACCAGGAUUCGUGUAGCCAACCCCAAUAAAUUGGGAAAAGGCUAUGAUGAUGAUACUUAUAUUGAAAAAAAACUCUACCAUGAGCAAAAAUCUUCUGGUUCAUUUGGUUAUUAGCUUUGUUGGCACAUCUUGCAUAAAGGAAUACACAUUGAACGAGUUCAUUUUGUUUUCUUGUGUAAGUCAAAGAAAGGGCAAAAGUACAUAAAAUCAAUGAUCCAAAGAAUGGAAGUUAGUUCAAGUGACAGGCUUAAAAGGGUAAGGGGUAGGCACAGACCCAGACCCAGUACAACACCUGUUAUGAGGUGCAAGUUAGUUCAAGUGGAAGGCUUAAAAGGGCAAGAGGUAGACCCAAAAGGACAUGGUUGGAAGUAGUAAGAAAAGAUAUUGGGACUUAUGGCCUCACUGAGGGUAUGACCCUUAAUGGAGCAAAAUGACAGACCAGGAUUUAUGUAGCCAACCUCAAUUAAUUGGGAAAAGGCCAUUAUGAUGAUGAUGAUGAUUAUAUUGGA
RNAcentral lists this long non-coding RNA (2852 nucleotides) under Amborella trichopoda. RNAcentral describes it as "long non-coding RNA (ATRI_LNC003150)". Lineage: Eukaryota; Viridiplantae; Streptophyta; Magnoliopsida; Amborellales; Amborellaceae. The record is from RNAcentral.